RNAcentral lists this ribosomal RNA (497 nucleotides) under uncultured bacterium. Its description in RNAcentral is "partial 16S ribosomal RNA". It matches the Rfam family "Bacterial small subunit ribosomal RNA", at positions 28 to 507 of the family's 1533-position model. The record is from RNAcentral.
GACGAACGCUGGCGGCGUGCCUAAUACAUGCAAGUUGAGCGCUGAAGGUUGGUACUUGUACCGACUGGAUGAGCAGCGAACGGGUGAGUAACGCGUGGGGAACCUGCCUUUGAGCGGGGGACAACAUUUGGAAACGAAUGCUAAUACCGCAUAAAAACUUUAAACACAAGUUUUAAGUUUGAAAGAUGCAAUUGCAUCACUCAAAGAUGAUCCCGCGUUGUAUUAGCUAGUUGGUGAGGUAAAGGCUCACCAAGGCGAUGAUACAUAGCCGACCUGAGAGGGUGAUCGGCCACAUUGGGACUGAGACACGGCCCAAACUCCUACGGGAGGCAGCAGUAGGGAAUCUUCGGCAAUGGACGAAAGUCUGACCGAGCAACGCCGCGUGAGUGAAGAAGGUUUUCGGAUCGUAAAACUCUGUUGGUAGAGAAGAACGUUGGUGAGAGUGGAAAGCUCAUCAAGUGACGGUAACUACCCAGAAAGGGACGGCUAACUACGUG